Struthio camelus australis is the source of this 4727-nucleotide non-coding RNA. The record is from RefSeq and is a predicted model, not a curated record. Lineage: Eukaryota; Metazoa; Chordata; Aves; Struthioniformes; Struthionidae.
UUCUUCACGAAGCUUGCGGAGACCAUUUGCAGUGACCGCCAGGGUCGACCCCCGCCCUAAAAGUGUGAGGAAAAGUGUGAGUCGUGUUGCUGGGCUCCGUGCUCUUCCCAGAUGCAGACUAUGGAUGUAUUUUCCAGAGAUUCUUCUAAUUUCGAGGAACAAAUGAAUGUAAUUAAAAGAGAAGACAUUUUCAACGGUUGGUGAGACUGUACUUGUCUCUUGCUCUUGCCAUCCCAGUUGAACAGAGCAAUAUUCCUUUCUUGAAACUCAACUGAUCUGUGUGCUGUAUGACACUCUGGCACAAGCAGGCGACCGUGCUGCAGCGCUGACCUGAUAGUUCUGAACAGAGACAGAGCAUCCAGUUAGCCCCAGCUUGUGCUCAUUACAAGCUCAUGCCUUCAGCUAACAUAUACAAUAGCAUAAAGGCCACUGAGGAGGACACAAGAGGAAACAGUUAAAGCAUUCCUGUACCGGCCUUUGAACUUUGAACGUGUCUGCCAGGCUGGUUCCCAGGAGUCUGACAGCAGACGCUCAGCGAUCAGCCUCUGUCCUCCUCUGCGUGCCAGAACAGCUGGGUGGUCUGGAGAAGAUCUAAAGGCUUCAGCCUGGCUUCUGAGCAGCUGUGGGCAGGGGAGAGGGACAGGAGGGUUAUCCAGGAUGGUCUUCUGGAAGUGAGACUGAAUUUCCCUGCCCUGAAGAUACCAUCUUCUCUGAAUUUUUUUGACUAGGGUGCUAGGAGAAAUACACAGUCCUAACUUGAGUACAGAGCCUGAUGCUCUUAUUGUGCUCCAUUUUGAGUACAAAUACCAGUGAUUCAGAGUGCUGUGCUGCUCAGCCUGGAAAUCAGGACCUCGUGUUCAAUGAUAAUUAAAUGCAGGCUUUUCCUCUUUCGUAUAUAUCUUAACUUUACAACUUUUGUUUCUCAGGAAAACGGAAUGUCUUUGUCUCUCCUAGCUUCAUGUAAUGUAUUUCUGCAUUUUUUUGGUUGUUUUAAAUAUCAAAUGCAUUUUAAAAGACUUCUAUUUAGAUGUUUUGUGAUUUUGGGGGGGAUUUUGUAAAUAGUAAACUGUUUUUAAACAACCUGUAUAUUCUAUAUAUAGCCAUUAUAUAAGCCAUUAUAUCACAUUCAUAAGAAAGACUAAAAAUAAUUAGAUCUUACAUUUAUAAUCAUAUUCUUAAUAUACUUAUGUAGUGAUUUUUAAUCUUCUCAUUUUUAGAGCUGAGGACUACAAAUGUAUUUUUUCUUAACGUAGUCAAGGGAGGAUUUGGAUACAAGCUGUGAAAAUAAGGACUUACAACAGCGAGAAAUAGCUGCUUUCUUUGUAAGUAUUGAUUGGGUAGAUGGGAACUAAAACAUUAUGGAAACAGUCACAUUUUUCAAACUACUAUUCAAAUUAUUCGUAUUGUCAACAUCAAAACUGUUCGUGUUUUGGCUGGUGAUUUAGCUAUAUGUGGCAGAAAGGCAUAGAAAGAAAACGUAUAGCAGACUGUUAACAUUUUCACUGCUCAUUAAAGAUUUCAAGAAUAAAAAAAGCCCUAAAAAUAUAACCAGUUACCCUUUACUCCUAAAAUGACCAAAUGUGGGAGAAAAUGUUCCCACAAUGGAAGCGGCUCUUACACGCUGAAUAGCAGCUGCUAAGGGCAUAUCUGGACAACUUUUGUGCAAACGCUGCACUGAACAAAAUGUGGAAUUUAAGCUGUGGUUAAGUGCAGAUAAAGGUCAGAGGUCACGAUCUCCCGAAACCAUCAUUUGCAAUAUUUCUGACUUCCUUUAUGCAGAGGAGGAAUGUGCACUGCCAGAAGUAGAGGAAUCGGGGCAACAUAAGGUUUUCUUGGCAACCAUUAGAUAUUUACUGCUGCUAACAAAGACCAGCAUACAAACGCGUUUGAAAUUCGGGCACAGACAACUGCUGGAAAAGACUCACAGCGUGGCGUUUGUCUUGCAUCAGCUGGCUGUUAGGAAAAGCGUAUAAUCAGUCAUUUUUAUGUAGGAAGUUUAUCUUUUGUUACUGGAGCUGCUUUUGCUAACAGUUCGUUCUCCGAAUGUGUAAACUACCUUUUUAGUUAUAAUCAUUUACCAAUGUGAAUAACUACAGAAAAGAUGGUUCAUGCAUAGUAAGAGGCCUGCCCCGUUUGCUUCUAUCGUAAAAUGUGUGUAAACGUUCUUGCCCACAUUGGUGGGGAAACGGAGUAGCGCCUACCGCAGCAUAUUUUUCAUCUCAUCUAUUAAAAAAAUGAACGUAUGCAUUAUGUUUUGCAUGGGGUGCUUUUUAGUUUAUUUUGUUCAUCUAUCCUGUAAUGAAUCACGGAAAUGUGCUCUGGAUUUGGCCUGUGCAGCUGUCACAGACAUCCUGUCGUUCUCUUCACGUUCUAAUAAAAACUGACACGGCAGGUCGUAUUUGAUAGUGCAACGAUUGCUGAUACGUUGGGACUGGUCCUGCAAACUUCACUCAAAUGGAUGGAUGCUGCUGACGCCCUCUAAAUUACAGCCUGUGACAUUCAUAGUUAGAGCUCCAGCUUGAUUAUUGAGCAGUUGCCUUUAUGUGCUGCGAGGAUCGCUCACAAACCUUAAAGGGAAGACAUUCCUCAUUUAAGCUGUUUCUGCACAAAUGUGGUUUAGUACAAGGAGAGUCGAUUAUACCCUCUUUUCUCAUCGACAUUAUGGCAAGUUAGUAUUCCGUUUCACGUUUUCCUUUGGAGGAAGCUCCCCGCGUCUGCACCAUAAUGGGUUUCGACAUGAAUCAAUAUCGGCAAAAAGAAAGAUCAGUCUAAUACUUCAGAAGUUCAAUUUUAUGCCAGUGGAGCUUUUCUGGUUUCAAUGCAACUAUACAAGAAAAGAAUUACAGAAUGUAAAACUGCUUUAGCAAAUCAGAAAUUCACUCCCCUGUGCUGAAUUUUCCGUUGAGGACAGUCUCAAGAUUGGGUGGGUGAGCAAUGAAUGCUGUCAACAUACUUUUGCCUCGGAACAAGUUGGAGGAGCCGUUCACAGUAGCCGGUGUGGUUCAGCUGGUUUACCAGCUCUCAUUUUUACCUGACGUGACGCUCAUAGUUCACAGCAUCAUUCUCCCAGAUAUUAAACCUCGCUUCUGGAUCAUGCCCUCUCUGGGAUUAACUUCUGCCCGCAUCAAGAUCUCCUUGAAAUGUCUGUGACCGAAGAACUAACAAAAUUAAUAUUUAUACUGAAUGCUCAAUAUGGUCAGAACUGGUAUUCAGAAGGUAAGGGUUUCACCUUGGGCUUAACCUUGGAAAAUCCUUUGACAACCUAGACUUGAGUUUCAUUACUGAUAUACAGCGAGAAGUGUUCCUAUUUGUUGUGUGAAAAUUCACAAUCUAUUUCCUUAAGCACAGCCCCGUUCUGUGAUCAUUUUCUUACGUGGUUUUAGUGUUUUUUCCCCCCCUCAAUUUUGUCUUUCAGCAUAUGUAACCCCUCUGCACGCUGUGAAUCACAGUUUGUUUCAUUAGUGAGAGGAGACUACAGCCUGCUCCUCUUAACAGCUUUGAGACUGAAUAUAAAAGUAAUCUUAAAAAGUGAAGACUCUUCACUAGUGAAAUUUCUUGCAGCACUAAUGUGAAUUUACAAUGAGCUAAUUCCAAGGCCUGUCUUACUUUGCUAAAUAUUUAUGCAUUAAGAACAAGAAUUUAAAAAGUUUUUUGCACCUUUCUAGAGCAAAGAGACUUAAGAGCAAAAACAAUAUGGCUGCCUAGGAGAAAAUAUUAUCAAGAGCCAAGUUUUUGUUUGGUCAAUACGUAUUUACAUUUUGAAUCUAAAAAACAGGAAACCCCCCAAAAGUUUUGGCCCAGUUUGUGCAAACAUACCAUGGAUCGGAAAUUUGCUAUUUCUGUAGAACAGAUUUUUCUUCCUAUUUAAUAGCACUGUGAUAAUAUUACCUUUCCAUUGUCAAACAUAGAAAAUGCAGUGUAUCCAGCUGAUUACUUACCAUCAGCUGAGGAGAAAGCUAAUUCAUGAGUAUCAUUGCAUUUAACCUGCUUACUCCCCUUUCUGAGAUCACUUGUUGCUGCACAGGUUCCCAUAAGAUUUUGAAAGAGCCAAGGCAAAUCUUAGCACUGAAUGAAUGGAUGGAUGACUUUCUACAGCAAUUUGUAGUCAGAACGUGUUGAAUAUUCAUUUGGACUUGGCUCCUGGUUAUGCUAUGAGCAAAACAAGUAUCUGGGGGGGGGGGUAAUCACAGUUCACCAAAACGUCUGCACAACAUAGUAUAAACGCAUUUGCUCAUGCCCAGCCCUAAAAUUCACCUGAGUGGCUGAAAAUGUUUUUCCAAGACUUUCAUUUCUCAACCUGUCUGGCAGAGAGCUCAUGCUUUCCAACAUGAAGAACUGAGUUGUAUCCGAUCACCAAAGGUCUGCCUCUCUUAUGUGUAUAUGAUCUUACAUGUAUGAGAGCAGAAAAGUCAGCUGUUUUGGUUGAUCAUUUUCUUGUGAUGUUCAUACUAGUUGGGCAAAGUAAGUAUUACAAAAAAAAAAAAAAAGGAUGCCAUUUCUAUGUGGUAGGAUAUUCCUUUACCAUUUGCUGAUGUAAAGGAUUGCAGGAGGUCUAAGACAAUAGAGAAAAUGCAUACGACUAGGAGCAGCGUGCAGCAAGGAGGUGUUUUAGUUGGUUUGUUAUGCUGUCGCUGAAAGCGGCAAAGGCCGAUGCCUCAAAGCGCAACCGAAUGGAAACAACAGGCUGUUACCAGGGUUCUUACAAUUACAUGCUGACCCGUUGGUGA